This 603-nucleotide small RNA is filed under the name Pongo abelii (Sumatran orangutan). Its description in RNAcentral is "retained intron". Lineage: Eukaryota; Metazoa; Chordata; Mammalia; Primates; Hominidae. The record is from RNAcentral.
GGGGCAGCUUGCUGCUGGGGCAGGGGGAGGGGGCUGAAAUAGGGAGGACUAGGCCAACUGCCUACUCACUUGUGUCCCCUGCAGGAGCUGGAGGAUCUUCAGAAGAAGCCUCCCCCGUACCUGCGGAACCUGUCCAGCGAUGAUGCCAAUGUCCUUGUGUGGCACGCUCUCCUCCUACCCGACCAACCUCCCUACCACCUCAAAGCCUUCAACCUGCGCAUCAGCUUCCCGCAGGAGUAUCCGUUCAAGCCUCCCAUGAUCAAAUUCACAACCAAGAUCUACCACCCCAACGUGGACGAGAACGGACAGAUUUGCCUGCCCAUCAUCAGCAAUGAGAACUGGAAGCCUUGCACCAAGACUUGCCAAGUCCUGGAGGCCCUCAAUGUGCUGGUGAAUAGACCGAAUAUCAGGGAGCCCCUGCGGAUGGACCUCGCUGACCUGCUGACACAGAAUCCGGAGCUGUUCAGAAAGAAUGCUGAAGAGUUCACCCUCCGAUUCGGAGUGGACCGGCCCUCCUAACUCAUGUUCUGACCCUCUGUGCACUGGAUCCUCGAUAGCGGACGGACACACCUCAUGGACUGAGGCCAGAGCUCCCUAUGGCCC